This is a long non-coding RNA of Pan troglodytes (chimpanzee), 2574 nucleotides long. RefSeq lists it as uncharacterized. NCBI's taxonomy places the organism in Eukaryota, Metazoa, Chordata, Mammalia, Primates, Hominidae. The record is from RefSeq and is a predicted model, not a curated record. The transcript is spliced from 2 exons.
GCAGAGUCUUGCUUUGUCACCCAGGCUGGAGUGCAGUGUCAUGAUCUCGGCUCACUGCAGUCUCCACCUCCCACGUUCAAAUGAUUCUACUGCCUCAGCCUCCCGAGUAGCUGGGACUACAGGUGUGCACCCAGCUAAUUUUCAUAUUUUUAGUAGAGAUGGGGUUUCACCGUGUUGGCCAGGCUGGUCUCAAACUCCUGGCCUCAAGUGAUCCUCCCUGCCUUGGCCUCCCAAAGUUCUGGGAUUACAGGCGUGAGCCACUGUGCCUGGCCUUCGCCUCUCCUGCCGGUGGGACCCAGGCCCUCACCCUGGGGUCCAAGUCCUAGUCUUCUCGCUCUUGCUGGGCUUUACCCUCCCUGCCCCGGCCUGGUAGAGGGUGCUCUGCCUGCUGGUCCGCUGGAACAGGAGCGGCCCCGGCCAGGUGACCCACAGCCAUCGAGCGGGGCAGUGCCUUACUCUGUCCCAGGUGGCUGGGUUUUAGGACCUCUGAGCCCUCACAGCUUAAGAGUUGCAGGGAAAGGAAGCACAGGUUGUCAGUGGGUCACUGGGAGCUGGUGAGUGGACGGCCACUCCUGCCUCUACCCCUUGGUCCCCAGACCCCUGCGGUCCUCUGUGGGGCCAUUGAUUUAGGCCGAAGACCACAUCCUGGAGGACGGGACCACCACAGUCCCAGAGGGUUGGUGUCAGGACGGUGGCACCAACUCUUUCCGAGAAGCUCGCCGACGCUCUAGGCUCUGCGGCGCCCGUGUUCCCGCUCCCUCUGCACCCCAUUGCCGGAAGCAGAGGCCCUGGGGGCCGUUACACAGGAGCCCGUCUCCCAGGGCAGACACGGAGGCAUCGUGGGCUGGAAAGGGCCCCUGGUGGUCUUUAUUGCCAGAAGACGGGAUGUGCUGCUGCCGACAGGAGCUGGGCUUGUCGUGGGGCGCCUGGCUUCGUUUGGUCCUCCAUCGCUCCAGGUGGGAGCCGUGUGGGAGCACCGGACGCUGCGUCACUGGCCGCGUCAUUGGCUUGUGGGUGGCUGGGUGCCCGCUCUGCAGCUGGUGCCCCUGGUGAACACCCACAAGUCCCCACGCUGGUGUCCACCCGGCAGUUCCAUUCCCCAGUCCGUCUUCCAGCGUUGCCCUUCUCAGGCCUUGACCGGCCAGCCGAGCCCUUCCCCAGCCCUGUCCACGUGUGUCCUGGUUGGUCUUGAACUCCUGACCUCAGGAGCCCCAAAGUGCUGGGAUUACAGGCGUGAGCCACCGUGCCCAGCCUGCAUCUGCUAAACUCUUUUCCAGGUGGUUGAAGCGCUGGUAUUUCCAUCAGCUCAGUGUGAGAGCUCUGGUUGCUGUACCUCCCAUCAACAUUUGACAUGUUUAGUCUUUUUAAAUUUUCAGGCAUUCUAGUGGGUGCACGAUGGUGUCUCACUGUAAUUUUAAUUUCUAUCUUCCUAAUGACUAAUGUUCUUGCGUCUUUUUAUGUGCUGUUCGCCAUCCAUAUAUCUUCACUGGUGAAAGGUCUGUUGAAAUCUUUUGUCUAUUUCUAAAUUGGAUUAUUUCUAUUUAUUGAGUGCUGGGGGUUCUUUGUAUAUUCUGGAUACAAGUCCUUUAUCAGUUAUGUGAUUUACAAGUAUUAUUCCCAGUCUGUGGCUUGUCUUUUUAUUUUCUUAACAGUGUAUUAUAAAGGGCAUAAGUUCCUAAUUUUGAUGAAGUCCAAUUUAUUGAUCUCUUCUAUAGAUCAUAAUUUUAGUGUUAUAUUUCAGAAAUAUAACUCAAAAAUGACAAACAUUUUUCUCUUACAUUUUCCUUUAGAUGGUUUAUCAUUUUAGAUUCCAGUUGUGAUCCAUUUUGGGAUAAUUUUUGCACAUGGUGUGAGAUUCAUUUUUUGCAUAUAGAUGUUGAAAAGAUCAUUAUUUUUUCACUGAAGUUCUUCUGUACCUUUACUUAAAAUCAAAUGACAAUAGAUGCAUGGGUCUAUUUCUGGACUCGUUUGAUCUAUAUUUCUGUGUUAAUAUCAAUACCUCGCUGUCUUGAUUACAAUAGACUUGCAACAGCCCUUCAAGUCAGAUGGUGGAUGUCCCCUCAAGUCACUUUUCUUUUUCAAGGUUGUUUCAGCUGCUCUUGGUCCUUUGCAUUUCCAUAUUAAUUUUAGAAUCAGUUUGUCAAUCUCCACACACACAAAAAACCUAUUGGAAUUCUGAUUGGGCAGCACUGACCUGUAGUUCAAGUUGGAGAGCGUAUCUCAGCAAUAUCGAGUCUUCCAGUACAUGAACAAGGUCUGUCUCUACAUGGACUUAGGAGUUUAAUUUCUCUCAUCAAUGUCUGGCAGUGUUCAGUGUUCAGGUCUUGCACAUCUUAUCAGAAUUAUUCAUAUUUCACAUUUUUGAUGCUAUUUUAAGUGAUGUUUUAAAUUUCACUUUAUAAUUGUCCAUUAUUAGAACAUAGACGUACAGCUGAUUUUCAUAUCUUGAUCUUGUUUCCCACAGUCUUGCUAAACUCAAUAGUUCUAGUUGUUUUUCUGUAGAUUCUAUCAGAUUUUCUACAUGGGUAAUCAUGUCAAUGGCAAAUAAAGACAGUUUUACUUCUUCCUUUUCAA